This 772-nucleotide ribosomal RNA is filed under the name Salmonella enterica. RNAcentral's name for it is "partial 23S ribosomal RNA". It matches the Rfam family "Bacterial large subunit ribosomal RNA", at positions 711 to 1484 of the family's 2925-position model. Lineage: Bacteria; Pseudomonadati; Pseudomonadota; Gammaproteobacteria; Enterobacterales; Enterobacteriaceae. The record is from RNAcentral.
AGACCCGAAACCCGGUGAUCUAGCCAUGGGCAGGUUGAAGGUUGGGUAACACUAACUGGAGGACCGAACCGACUAAUGUUGAAAAAUUAGCGGAUGACCUGUGGCUGGGGGUGAAAGGCCAAUCAAACCGGGAGAUAGCUGGUUCUCCCCGAAAGCUAUUUAGGUAGCGCCUCGUGAAUUCAUCUCCGGGGGUAGAGCACUGUUUCGGCUAGGGGGCCAUCCCGGCUUACCAACCCGAUGCAAACUGCGAAUACCGGAGAAUGUUAUCACGGGAGACACACGGCGGGUGCUAACGUCCGUCGUGAAGAGGGAAACAACCCAGACCGCCAGCUAAGGUCCCAAAGUCAUGGUUAAGUGGGAAACGAUGUGGGAAGGCCCAGACAGCCAGGAUGUUGGCUUAGAAGCAGCCAUCAUUUAAAGAAAGCGUAAUAGCUCACUGGUCGAGUCGGCCUGCGCGGAAGAUGUAACGGGGCUAAACCAUGCACCGAAGCUGCGGCAGCGACACUCAGGUGUUGUUGGGUAGGGGAGCGUUCUGUAAGUCUGCGAAGGUGGCCUGUGAGGGUUGCUGGAGGUAUCAGAAGUGCGAAUGCUGACAUAAGUAACGAUAAAGCGGGUGAAAAGCCCGCUCGCCGGAAGACCAAGGGUUCCUGUCCAACGUUAAUCGGGGCAGGGUGAGUCGACCCCUAAGGCGAGGCCGAAAGGCGUAGUCGAUGGGAAACGGGUUAAUAUUCCCGUACUUGGUGUUACUGCGAAGGGGGGACGGAGAAGGCUA